GACGAACGCUGGCGGCGUGCUUAACACAUGCAAGUCGAGCGGUAAGGCCCUUUCGGGGGUACACGAGCGGCGAACGGGUGAGUAACACGUGGGUGACCUGCCCUCAGCUCUGGGAUAAGCCUGGGAAACCGGGUCUAAUACUGGAUAUGACUCCAUGACGCAUGUUGUGGGGUGGAAAGCCUUGUGCGGCUGAGGAUGGGCCCGCGGCCUAUCAGCUUGCUGGUGGGGUGAUGGCCUACCAAGGCGACGACGGGUAGCCGGCCUGAGAGGGCGACCGGCCACACUGGGACUGAGACACGGCCCAGACUCCUACGGGAGGCAGCAGUGGGGAAUCUUGCGCAAUGGGCGAAAGCCUGACGCAGCGACGCCGCGUGAGGGAUGACGGCCUGGUGUAAC
This 396-nucleotide ribosomal RNA is filed under the name uncultured bacterium. RNAcentral's name for it is "bacterial SSU rRNA". It matches the Rfam family "Bacterial small subunit ribosomal RNA", at positions 28 to 429 of the family's 1533-position model. The record is from RNAcentral.